Molecule: ribosomal RNA, 460 nt
Filed under: uncultured bacterium
Lineage: Bacteria
Description: partial 16S ribosomal RNA
Rfam family: Bacterial small subunit ribosomal RNA
Source: RNAcentral
CCUACGGGAGGCAGCAGUGAGGAAUAUUGGUCAAUGGGCGCGAGCCUGAACCAGCCAAGUAGCGUGAAUGAUGACUGCCCUACGGGUUGUAAACUUCUUUUAUAAAGGAAUAAAGUGAGGCACGUGUGCCUUUUUGUAUGUACUUUAUGAAUAAGGAUCGGCUAACUCCGUGCCAGCAGCCGCGGUAAUACGGAGGAUCCGAGCGUUGUCCGGAUGUAUUGGGUGUAAAGGGAGCGUAGAUGGGUUGUUAAGUCAGUUGUGAAAGUGUGCGGCUCAACCGUAAAAUUGCAAGGGAUACUGGCAGUCUUGAGUACAGUUGAGGUAGGCGGAAUUCGUGGUGUAGCGGUGAAAUGCUUAGAGAUCACGAAGAACUCCGAUGGCGAAGGCAGCUUACUAAACUGCCACUGACAUUGAUGCUCGAAAGUGUGGGUAUCAAACAGGAUUAGAUACCCGAGUAGUC